RNAcentral lists this ribosomal RNA (484 nucleotides) under uncultured bacterium. Its description in RNAcentral is "partial 16S ribosomal RNA". It matches the Rfam family "Bacterial small subunit ribosomal RNA", at positions 30 to 507 of the family's 1533-position model. The record is from RNAcentral.
AUUGAACGCUGGCGGCAUGCUUUACACAUGCAAGUCGAACGGCAGCGCGGGCUUCGGCCUGGCGGCGAGUGGCGAACGGGUGAGUAAUACAUCGGAACGUGCCCAGUCGUGGGGGAUAGCUUGGCGAAAGCCGGAUUAAUACCGCAUACGACCUGAGGUUGAAAGCGGGGGUUCUUUGGACCUCGCGCUAUUUGAGCGGCCGAUGGCAGAUUAGCUAGUUGGUGGGGUAAAGGCCUACCAAGGCGACGAUCUGUAGCUGGGCUGAGUGGCCGACCAGCCACACUGGGACUGAGACACGGCCCAGACUCCUACGGGAGGCAGCAGUGGGGAAUUUUGGACAAUGGGCGAAAGCCUGAUCCAGCAAUGCCGCGUGUGUGAUGAAGGCCUUCGGGUUGUAAAGCACUUUUGGCGGGAACGAAAAGGACUGUGCCAAUACCACGGUUCGAUGACGGUACCCGCAGAAUAAGCACCGGCUAACUACGUG